RNAcentral lists this ribosomal RNA (252 nucleotides) under uncultured bacterium. Its description in RNAcentral is "partial 16S ribosomal RNA". It matches the Rfam family "Bacterial small subunit ribosomal RNA", at positions 57 to 305 of the family's 1533-position model. The record is from RNAcentral.
GCAAGUCGUACGUGAAAGUCUUUCGGGAUGAGUAAAGUGGCGAACGGGUGAGUAACACGUAAAUAACCUACCCUCAAAUCUGGGAUACCAUUGCUAACGCGGUGUUAAUACCGGAUGUGAUUAUCGAGACUCCUGUCUUUUUAAUUAAAGGUCCUUCGGGAUCGUUUGAGGAUGGAUUUGCGCACCAUUAGCUUGUUGGUGGGGUAAUGGCCUACCAAGGCGAUGAUGGUUAGCCGACCUGAGAGGGUGAUC